AUGCGUAAUAUUAAGCAUUAUAUGUACUAGUACAUAUGCGUAAUAUUAAGCAUUAUAUGUCAGAAAAUAGUUA
RNAcentral lists this transfer RNA (73 nucleotides) under Paracheirodon axelrodi (cardinal tetra). RNAcentral's name for it is "tRNA-Pro". Lineage: Eukaryota; Metazoa; Chordata; Actinopteri; Characiformes; Acestrorhamphidae. The record is from RNAcentral.